CGGAACUGUUCUACUCCACAUGUCUUCAUUUCAUCGGGCAGAUAAGCGCUGACAUCUCACCACACUUAAUACAAAAACAUACUACCCGGGGGUCGCUACAGCGGAAUCGACAGUUUCCAUCGGUACCCUGUGAGGGCACAACACCGAUGGCGGUCUUGUCAAUCCGCAUAAUGAUCUGGCAAAAUUUUACGUCGGAUGCCCUUCCUGACACAACCACUAACCCUAUGGACGAAAGUGGACAGAGGAUGAGGACACACGUUGACCAGGUGCGAG
Lampris incognitus (smalleye Pacific opah) is the source of this 273-nucleotide long non-coding RNA. RefSeq lists it as uncharacterized. The transcript is spliced from 3 exons. NCBI's taxonomy places the organism in Eukaryota, Metazoa, Chordata, Actinopteri, Lampriformes, Lampridae. The record is from RefSeq and is a predicted model, not a curated record.